AACGAACGCUGGCGGCAUGCCUAACACAUGCAAGUCGAACGAGACCUUCGGGUAUAGUGGCGCACGGGUGCGUAACGCGUGGGAACCUGCCCUUAGGUUCGGAAUAACUCCCCGAAAGGGGUGCUAAUACCGGAUAAUGUCUUCGGACCAAAGAUUUAUCGCCUUUGGAUGGGCCCGCGUUGGAUUAGCUAGUUGGUAGGGUAAAAGCCUACCAAGGCGACGAUCCAUAGCUGGUCUGAGAGGAUGAUCAGCCACACUGGGACUGAGACACGGCCCAGACUCCUACGGGAGGCAGGAGUGGGGAAUAUUGGACAAUGGGCGAAAGCCUGAUCCAGCAAUGCCGCGUGAGUGAUGAAGGCCGUAGGGUUGUAAAGCUCUUUUACCCGGGAUGAUAAUGACAGUACCGGGAGAAUAAGCUCCGGCUAACUCCGUG
RNAcentral lists this ribosomal RNA (433 nucleotides) under uncultured bacterium. Its description in RNAcentral is "partial 16S ribosomal RNA". It matches the Rfam family "Bacterial small subunit ribosomal RNA", at positions 29 to 507 of the family's 1533-position model. The record is from RNAcentral.